Molecule: ribosomal RNA, 521 nt
Filed under: Mammaliicoccus sciuri
Lineage: Bacteria; Bacillati; Bacillota; Bacilli; Caryophanales; Staphylococcaceae
Description: bacterial SSU rRNA
Rfam family: Bacterial small subunit ribosomal RNA
Source: RNAcentral
CUUGCGUUCUCUGAUGUGUAGCGAGCGGACGGGUGAGUAACACGUGGGUAACCUACCUAUAAGACUGGGAUAACUCCGGGAAACCGGGGCUAAUACCGGAUAAUAUUUUGAACCGCAUGGUUCAAUACUGAAAGACGGUUUCGGCUGUCACUUAUAGAUGGACCCGCGCCGUAUUAGCUAGUUGGUAAGGUAACGGCUUACCAAGGCGACGAUACGUAGCCAACCUGAGAGGGUGAUCGGCCACACUGGAACUGAGACACGGUCCAGACUCCUACGGGAGGCAGCAGUAGGGAAUCUUCCGCAAUGGGCGAAAGCCUGACGGAGCAACGCCGCGUGAGUGAUGAAGGUCUUCGGAUCGUAAAACUCUGUUGUUAGGGAAGAACAAAUUUGUUAGUAACUGAACAAGUCUUGACGGUACCUAACCAGAAAGCCACGGCUAACUACGUGCCAGCAGCCGCGGUAAUACGUAGGUGGCAAGCGUUAUCCGGAAUUAUUGGGCGUAAAGCGCGCGUAGGCGGUUU